GGAAUAUUGCACAAUGGGGGAAACCCUGAUGCAGCGACGCCGCGUGAGUGAAGAAGUAUUUCGGUAUGUAAAGCUCUAUCAGCAGGGAAGAAAGAAGACGUUACCUGAGUAAGAAGCCCCGGCUAACUACGUGCCAGCAGCCGCGGUAAUACGUAGGGGGCAAGCGUUAUCCGGAUUUACUGGGUGUAAAGGGAGCGUAGACGGCAGCGCAAGUCUGGAGUGAAAUCCCAUGGCUUAACCAUGGAACUGCUUUGGAAACUGUUAAGCUGGAGUACAGGAGAGGUAAGCGGAAUUCCUAGUGUAGCGGUGAAAUGCGUAGAUAUUAGGAGGAACACCAGUGGCGAAGGCGGCUUACUGGACUGUAACUGACGUUGAGGCUCGAAAGCGUGGGGAGCAAAC
Molecule: ribosomal RNA, 399 nt
Filed under: uncultured bacterium
Lineage: Bacteria
Description: bacterial SSU rRNA
Rfam family: Bacterial small subunit ribosomal RNA
Source: RNAcentral